RNAcentral lists this ribosomal RNA (763 nucleotides) under uncultured bacterium. RNAcentral's name for it is "bacterial SSU rRNA". It matches the Rfam family "Bacterial small subunit ribosomal RNA", at positions 51 to 836 of the family's 1533-position model. The record is from RNAcentral.
ACACAUGCAGUCGACGAUGAUGAGUAGCUUGCUACUCUGAUUAGUGGCGCACGGGUGAGUAAUAUAUAGAUAACGUACCUCUUAGACUGGGAUAGCCAUUGGAAACGAUGAUUAAUACUAGAUACUCCUUCUAGCUCUAAUGCUAGUCGGGAAAGUUUUUUCGCUAAGAGAUCGGUCUAUAUCCUAUCAGUUAGUUGGUGAGGUAAUGGCUCACCAAGGCAAUGACAGGUAGCGGGUUUGAGAGGAUGAUCCGCCACACUGGUACUGAGACACGGACCAGACUCCUACGGGAGGCAGCAGUGAGGAAUAUUGCACAAUGGGGGAAACCCUGAUGCAGCAACGCCGCGUGGAGGAUGACGCAUUUCGGUGUGUAAACUCCUUUUAUAUGUCAAGAAAAUGACGGUAGCAUAUGAAUAAGCACCGGCUAACUCCGUGCCAGCAGCCGCGGUAAUACGGAGGGUGCAAGCGUUAUUCGGAAUCACUGGGCGUAAAGGACGCGUAGGCGGGUUUGUAAGUCAGGUGUGAAAUCCUACAGCUUAACUGUAGAACUGCACUUGAAACUACUGACCUAGAGUAUGGGAGGGGGAGAUGGAAUUAGUUGGGUGUAGGGGUAAAAUCCCGUAAAUUAUCACUAAGGAAUACCUAAAGCGAAGGCGAUCUCCUGGAACAUAACUGACGCUAGGCGUGAAAGCGUGGGAGCAAACAGAUUAGAUACCCUGUAGUCCACGCCCUAACGAUGACACUAGUCGUCGUGAUGCUAGUC